GAGUUUGAUCAUGGCUCAGAUUGAACGCUGGCGGCAUGCCUUACACAUGCAAGUCGAACGCGAAAGUGGGGGCAACCCUGCGAGUAGAGUGGCGAACGGGUGAGUAACACAUCGGAACGUACCCAGGAGUGGGGGACAACCUCGAGAAAUCGAGGCUAAUACCGCAUACGUCCUGAGGGAGAAAGCGGGGGAUUCGCAAGGACCUCGCGCUCAUGGAGCGGCCGAUGUCGGAUUAGCUAGUUGGCGGGGUAAAAGCCCACCAAGGCUACGAUCCGUAGCUGGUUUGAGAGAACGACCAGCCACACUGGGACUGAGACACGGCCCAGACUCCUACGGGAGGCAGCAGUGGGGAAUUUUGGACAAUGGGGGCAACCCUGAUCCAGCCAUGCCGCGUGAGUGAAGAAGGCCUUCGGGUUGUAAAGCUCUUUCGGCCGGAACGAAAUCGCGUACGCGAAUAACGUGCGUGGAUGACGGUACUGGAAGAAGAAGCACCGGCUAACUACGUGCCAGCAGCCGCGGUAAUACGUAGGGUGCGAGCGUUAAUCGGAAUUACUGGGCGUAAAGCGUGCGCAGGCGGUUCUGCAAGUCAGAUGUGAAAUCCCCGGGCUUAACCUGGGAACUGCGUUUGAAACUACGGAGCUAGAGUGCGGCAGAGGGGGGUGGAAUUCCACGUGUAGCAGUGAAAUGCGUAGAUAUGUGGAGGAACACCGAUGGCGAAG
RNAcentral lists this ribosomal RNA (719 nucleotides) under uncultured bacterium. RNAcentral's name for it is "bacterial SSU rRNA". It matches the Rfam family "Bacterial small subunit ribosomal RNA", at positions 9 to 720 of the family's 1533-position model. The record is from RNAcentral.